This 254-nucleotide ribosomal RNA is filed under the name uncultured bacterium. RNAcentral's name for it is "partial 16S ribosomal RNA". It matches the Rfam family "Bacterial small subunit ribosomal RNA", at positions 524 to 776 of the family's 1533-position model. The record is from RNAcentral.
UACGGGGGGGGCAAGCGUUGUUCGGAAUUACUGGGCGUAAAGGGUUCGUAGGUGGCCGACUAAGUCAGACGUGAAAUCCCUCAGCUCAACUGGGGAACUGCGUCUGAGACUGGCCGGCUUGAGUGCAGGAGAGGAACGCGGAAUUCCAGGUGUAGCGGUGAAAUGCGUAGAUAUCUGGAGGAACACCGGUGGCGAAGGCGGCGUUCUGGACUGCUACUGACGCUGAGUGAGCGAAAGCCAGGGGAGCAAACGGG